AGAAAGAAAACAGAGGCUUAAUGAGGCAAAGGCAACAUGUCCAAGACCACACAGCUGACUGCUUCAAUAAAUAUCCUUGAACAUACAUCACGUCAUGUGUGUGAGAGAAAGAGGGAGACAGAGAGGCAGAGAGAUACAGAAGGAGAGAAUGAGAGAGAGAAGACGUGAAGAUGCAGAGUCAAGGGCACGAGCGUUUUGAGAUGUGGAGAAUAUUUGCCCCCUUCUUUAAAUGUGCGCUGGCUGCUCAUGUGCUGACUAGGUGGGGCUGGCCUGUGGACUCCCUGACUGAUGGGAGGAAACUGUCAGAGAUACCAAGAUAUACGCUGUUUGUCUCAGUUCUUGCGACAACACGGUGAGGCAUGGAGCAUUCUAGGUUCUGGGGAAACAAAAGUAAUUCCCACUGUCUCCACAAGCCCGCCCUUCCGUCGGAAC
Long non-coding RNA from Homo sapiens (human), 432 nucleotides. RefSeq lists it as uncharacterized. The record is from RefSeq and is a predicted model, not a curated record. The transcript has 3 exons. NCBI's taxonomy places the organism in Eukaryota, Metazoa, Chordata, Mammalia, Primates, Hominidae.